ACGAACGCUGGCGGCGUGCUUAACACAUGCAAGUCGAACGCUGAAGCUUGGUGCUUGCCCUGGGUGGAUGAGUGGCGAACGGGUGAGUAAUAAGUGAGUAACCUGCCCUUGACUCUGGGAUAAGCCUGGGAAACUGGGUCUAAUACUGGAUACGACAUGUCACCGCAUGGUGGUGUGUGGAAAGGGUUUUACUGGUUUUGGAUGGGCUCACGGCCUAUCAGCUUGUUGGUGGGGUAAUGGCUCACCAAGGCGACGACGGGUAGCCGGCCUGAGAGGGUGACCGGCCACACUGGGACUGAGACACGGCCCAGACUCCUACGGGAGGCAGCAGUGGGGAAUAUUGCACAAUGGGCGGAAGCCUGAUGCAGCGACGCCGCGUGAGGGAUGACGGCCUUCGGGUUGUAAACCUCUUUCAGCACGGAAGAAGCGAAAGUGACGGUACGUGCAGAAGAAGCGCCGGCUAACUACGUG
Molecule: ribosomal RNA, 471 nt
Filed under: uncultured bacterium
Lineage: Bacteria
Description: partial 16S ribosomal RNA
Rfam family: Bacterial small subunit ribosomal RNA
Source: RNAcentral